RNAcentral lists this ribosomal RNA (482 nucleotides) under uncultured bacterium. Its description in RNAcentral is "partial 16S ribosomal RNA". It matches the Rfam family "Bacterial small subunit ribosomal RNA", at positions 30 to 507 of the family's 1533-position model. The record is from RNAcentral.
AUUGAACGCUGGCGGCAUGCUUUACACAUGCAAGUCGAACGGUAACAGCACUUCGGUGGCUGACGAGUGGCGAACGGGUGAGUAAUACAUCGGAACGUGCCUAGUAGUGGGGGAUAACUACUCGAAAGAGUAGCUAAUACCGCAUGAGAUCUAAGGAUGAAAGCAAGGGACCUUCGGGCCUUGCGCUACUAGAGCGGCUGAUGGCAGAUUAGGUAGUUGGUGGGAUAAAAGCUUACCAAGCCGACGAUCUGUAGCUGGUCUGAGAGGACGACCAGCCACACUGGGACUGAGACACGGCCCAGACUCCUACGGGAGGCAGCAGUGGGGAAUUUUGGACAAUGGGCGCAAGCCUGAUCCAGCAAUGCCGCGUGCAGGAUGAAGGCCUUCGGGUUGUAAACUGCUUUUGUACGGAACGAAAAGCCCUCUUCUAAUACAGGAGGGUCAUGACGGUACCGUAAGAAUAAGCACCGGCUAACUACGUG